Molecule: long non-coding RNA, 1320 nt
Organism: Nematostella vectensis (starlet sea anemone)
Lineage: Eukaryota; Metazoa; Cnidaria; Anthozoa; Actiniaria; Edwardsiidae
Exons: 2
Source: RefSeq, a predicted model, not a curated record
AGAUUUCGUGUUAUUGUGACCCGAUUUACCUUAUAAUAGCAUAUUUAAGCACAGCUCUCUCCUAGAAAUUGACACUAUUUACAGUUACUCUAUUGCUUCUAACGUUAGCACUUUUUAAUUAGAAGUUGCUAGAUUUCAAUGUUGUGUUUUAAAAUUCUAAUCGAUUUAUAACAAAAAAAGUUGAUGUUCGCGGGCUUAAAUUAUGUAAGUUACUAAGACUCAUUUCAGCCUAAGCUAGAAAAGAUGCAAGGGAUGUAAUGAGGUCUGUGUUUAGAUACAUCAUACAACAACUACCUAACUUUCUUUUGGAUAUUGUACUGAUGUAAACUUGAUGUGCACCUAUCCCAAUAAAAUGUAUUGUAUAGUAAACACACAUUGUUUUAUGGAUAGCAUUUACUUGGCUGAAUCAUUGUAUCUGAAAGCCAUGUGAAUCUUAUCAGAAACAUAAACAAGAAUGCUACAGCUUUACACACCUGGGUUUGUUUUUAUUUAUGCUUAUUUGUUUAUUUGUGUAAGGCUGAGUUCAAACUUCCUAUUAUCCAUGAGCCGUAUUAUUUGUGUGCAUUUGCAUUACUAAAUAGAGCUCAUGAAUAAUAUGACGUUUGAACUUAGCCUAAUACCCAUAAAUGAAGCACUGUUGUAUGAUCUAUGCAACCUUAUCUUAAAUUGAUGUGUAUAAUACUCAUAUUUAAAGUUACAUUCAAACAGCUUAGAGAAAAUGAAUUAUACUUUUUUUGGCAUUGAGUGACAUUCUCAUAUUGUUUUACCCUGGUUCAAGAUCCUCAAACGUCUCUUUCUAUUUAGUGGCCAGCGAGCUUGCGAUGAGGUCCUGGCCUUUCGAAGCGUUAUUUUAUGGUCACAUUAUGUAUGGCCACGUUGGUCCUUUGCAGUCCAAAUUCAUUACAAGAUUUACCAGUAUUGAACAUGUAAAGCUGUUCAAGAGGAGUCUCUUUAGGAAUUCAUAAAGCGGCAAGAUGUCUCCUCUGUGCUGCCAACUGGCUACAGGAAAUCGCUGAUUUUCUGGCUUAUUCCCAAGCUAACAAUUGUACUGGUCAUUUGCCCCUUUGGUUCUUUGAUAGACUGAUUCUGAGGAAAACUGUGAGCUUAUCCUCUAUUUUCUCCUCCUUGGAGCGCUUCCCGAGAAAAUGUUGUAUUCCCCACCUCUUUUUAUGCGCUGGUUUUUGUCACUAACUCUACAGUAAUGAUUCUAUGGGUUUUCAUACUCUUUUCAUACUUGUGAACUCAAUUCCUGAGUGAAGAGAUGUUUACAUCCUAGGUAGUACCACGUGAAACUAACACAUGCUAAUCACAAAACGUUAA